AGCAGCCGCGGUAAUUCCAGCUCCAAUAGCGUAUAUUAAAGUUGUUGCAGUUAAAAAGCUCGUAGUUGAACCUUAGGCCCGUGCGGGUGGUCCGUCCUCUGGGCGAGCACUGCGUCGUCGCGGGUCUCACCUUCUGGCGAGCGUGGAUGCCAUUCACUUGGUGUCCGCGGGAACCAGGACCUUUACCUUGAAAAAAUUAGAGUGCUCAAAGCGGGCUCGUACGCUUGAAUACAUUAGCAUGGAAUAAUGAAAUAGGACGACGGUUCUAUUUUGUUGGUUUCCGGGACAGUCGUAAUGAUUAAUAGGGAUAGUUGGGG
Molecule: ribosomal RNA, 317 nt
Filed under: uncultured Paraglomus
Lineage: Eukaryota; Fungi; Glomeromycota; Glomeromycetes; Paraglomerales; Paraglomeraceae
Description: bacterial SSU rRNA
Rfam family: Eukaryotic small subunit ribosomal RNA
Source: RNAcentral